RNAcentral lists this unclassified non-coding RNA (954 nucleotides) under Hevea brasiliensis (rubber tree). Lineage: Eukaryota; Viridiplantae; Streptophyta; Magnoliopsida; Malpighiales; Euphorbiaceae. The record is from RNAcentral.
GAGAGAUAGAGGAAGAGAGCUCUUGAGAAGAAGAAAACAUGGUGGGCAUUUCUCGUGAACAAGAAUCUUGGGUUUCUUCAAGGAACCUAAACCAAGAAGAGGAUCAAACAGAAACUUCACAUGUUCAAACAAACCUGGAUCAAAAUGAUGUUUUCUAUCAGGAAACUGAUGAAAUAUGGCAGAAAGUGAAUCAAACUGCCAUCAAGAACGACGAUGAUAGUAGUGGCAGAAGAAAUUUCAGCUCCAAAAGCAGGAGUAACAGCAAGAAAAAGAAGAACCAGGUGUUGCUAGAAGGGUAUGUAGAGGUAGCUAAUAAUGAGGAUGAUUUGAAGAGGACCAAGAGCUUGACAGAUGAUGAUCUUGACGAGCUUAAAGGGUGCUUAGAUCUUGGGUUUGGUUUCAGCUAUGAUGAGAUCCCUGAGCUCUGUAACACCUUGCCAGCUCUUGAGCUUUGUUACUCCAUGAGUCAGAAGUUUCUUGAUGAGCAGCAUAAGUCUCCCGAGAGAAGCUCUCCUACUGCUGCUGAAACUGCAUCCAGCCCUAUUGCUAACUGGAAGAUCUCUAGUCCUGGUGACCAUCCGGAAGAUGUUAAAGCAAGGCUCAAAUUUUGGGCACAGGCUGUGGCAUGUACUGUUAGAUUGUGCAGCUGAAAGACAUUUAAGAAUUGAGUGAUGAUUUAUUGACGUGAAAGAAAAUGGAUGCAUAUUUUCUCAGUGAUGGGAAAUCAAAAGCCUGGACUUUCAUAAAGAGUCUGUGCUCCACUAUCCAUUCCAGUGCAACUUGCAGGAAUCAAAGUGCCUGCACAUUCUUUAGCUGGGAAUGAACUGGCCUUCGGUAUUAUAAUAGAAGAAGGGACAAGCUUCAGGUUUGAAAUUAACCGAAUACUCUUAUGAGUUUGAAUUAAUAAAGCGGAGAUGAAGACUAUGAUUAUUGUAUUCGGUGCAUUCAAAAUAA